GAAGGUUAAAAAAUCAAAGGAACUAAGGGCGCACAGUGGAUGCCUUGGCACUAAGAGCCGAUGAAGGACG
Molecule: ribosomal RNA, 70 nt
Filed under: Aconitum proliferation phytoplasma
Lineage: Bacteria; Bacillati; Mycoplasmatota; Mollicutes; Acholeplasmatales; Acholeplasmataceae
Description: partial 23S ribosomal RNA
Source: RNAcentral